GGGGGGGGGGGGGGGGGGGGGGGGGGGGGGGGGGGGGGGGGGGGGGGGGGGGGGGGGGGGGGGGGGGGGGGGGGGAAUUUGGGAACAACAACCCAGGGAAAAAUGGGAUUUUAAAGGAGAAAUAGGAUGGUCCCACUAAUGGGGAUUUCUGUCAUCAGCUGUAGGAGCAGCCACAAAGAUGUUUUGGAUGCUGUGUCCUCCUCAGGCCCCUCAGGUCAGGCCCUGUGGGAGCCCUCAGGGAGGGUCCCAGCCCGGGCGGGAAUUCGGGAAUUGGGGAACAACAACCCAGGGAAAAAUGGGAUUUUAAAGGAGAGCGGGAGUUUGGGAACGACACCCCGGAGAAAAACUGGAUUUUAACGGGGAAAUAAAGUGAUCCCACUAUCCCACUAUGGAGAUUUCUGCCAUCGGUUGUAAGAGCAGCCACAAGGAUGUUUUGGAUGCUGUGUCCAAGUCUGGAAUCAUCGGGACAGGAGGGACAGGGAGCAGGCCCAGCAAUAAAAAUGAUGAAAGGACUGGAGCAUCUCCCUGCCCAGGAAAGGCUGAGGGAGCUGGGGCUGUGCAGCCUUGAGAGGAGAUAAAUGAGAAGGAACCUCAUUCCUCUGUGUCCCUGUGUGUCCCUGUCCAUGAUUCUGUAAUUCUGUGAGUCUGUAAUUCUGUGAGUCUGUGAUUCUGUGAAUCUGUGAUUCCGUGAUUCUGUGAUUCUGUGAUUCUGUGAUUCUAUGAUUCUCUGAUUCUGUGAGUCUGUGAUUUUGUAAGACUGAUUCUGUAGUUCUGUGAUUUUAUGAGACUGUGAUUCCAUGAUUCUGUGAUUUUGUGGAUCUGUAAUUCUGUAAUUCUGUAAUUGUGAGUCUGUAAUUAUUGGUUUUGUGAGACUGUGAGUCUCUGAUUCUGUGAUUCUGUAAUUCCAUGAUUCUCUGAUUCUGUAGUUCUGUGAUUUUUGUGAGACUGCGAUUCCACGAUUCCACGAUUCUGUGAUUCUGUAAUUCAGUGAUUCUAUAACUCUGUGAAUCUGUAAUUCCCUCUGUGAUUCCAUGAUUCUCUGAUUCUGUGAUUCUAUGAGUCUGUGACUGAUUCUGCAGUACUGUGAUUCUGUGUGUCUGAUAUUCUGUGAUUCCAUGGCUCUGUGCUUCUAGGAUUCUGAGAGUCUUGUGAAUCCAUGACUUUGUGAUUCCAUGAUUCUGUGAUUCCAUGAUUCUGUGGUUGACUCUGACACUGUAAUUCUGUGAUUCCAUCACUCUGCAGUUCUAAGAUUCUGUGACUCCCUGAUUCUGUGAUUCUGUGAUUCCAUCACUCUGCAGUUCUGGGAUUCUGGAGUCUAUGAUUCCAUGAUUUUGUGAUUCUCACUCUGUGACUCUGAGAUCCGUGAUUCCCUGAUUCCAUCACUCUACAGUUCUGGGAUUCUGGGAGUCUGUGAUUCCAUGAUUUUGUGAUUCUCACUCUGUGACUCUGAGAUUCUGUAAUUCCAUGAUUCCACCACUAUACAGAUCUGUGAGUCUAUGAUUCCAUGAUUUUGUGGUUCUCACCCUGUGACCCUCUGAUUACAUGAUUCCACGAUUCCAUCACUCUACAGUUCUGGGAUUCUGGGGGGGGGGGGGGGGGGGGGGGGGGGGGGGGGGGGGGGGGGGGGGGGGGGGGGGGGGGGGGGGGGGGGGGGGGGGGGGGGGGG
Ficedula albicollis (Collared flycatcher) is the source of this 1666-nucleotide long non-coding RNA. The record is from Ensembl. Lineage: Eukaryota; Metazoa; Chordata; Aves; Passeriformes; Muscicapidae.